Panicum virgatum (switchgrass) is the source of this 554-nucleotide long non-coding RNA. RefSeq lists it as uncharacterized. NCBI's taxonomy places the organism in Eukaryota, Viridiplantae, Streptophyta, Magnoliopsida, Poales, Poaceae. The record is from RefSeq and is a predicted model, not a curated record. The transcript is spliced from 3 exons.
UCUGCUCGAGCUCUAUUUCUAGGUCUUUCCGCCGGCGCCGUCAUCACCGUCGGCUUCGUGUUCCUCCCGGAGAUGCCCAACUCACUCUUGGAGCGCGAGCAUCUCGAGGAGGACCGGCGGGUGCUGCGGCGCAUGCGCAGCAGCGAUGACGUGUCCCCCUUCCACCGCCAAGGGUUGGCGCUGAAGGUCCUGCCACACAAGAUCAGAUUCUUUAUGGAUGAAGGUAGGAGAUUGGGAUAUGCGGAUGUUUCCUCAACAAUCUCUGGCGGAUCUGCUUCGAUUUUGGUUUCGGGGUGUUCAGAUCUUGAUUGUCAAUUGAAGGAUCCGAUGCUUUUCAUCUGAUACAUUGGGGUCAAUGAUUGUGGCUGAUUGUGGCUUUGUGUGUGAUGGUGAUGGUCAAAAAGAUUUUGGAAAUUCGAAGUUACGAUCGUCUCUUGGUUUAUGUUAUGAGUGGGCCCGGGAGAUGCAACGUAAUGGUGCAUGCCAUGUUAAGCCUGGGAAUUGUGCUAUUUGGGAAGCAACAAUUUCAAUGGCACGUGUGCUCAAUGUGCCUC